This 31-nucleotide non-coding RNA is filed under the name Mus musculus (house mouse). Lineage: Eukaryota; Metazoa; Chordata; Mammalia; Rodentia; Muridae. The record is from RNAcentral.
UAGGAGAUGUCAUUAUGGAAGACUUGUCCUU